GACGAACGCUGGCGGCGUGCCUAAUACAUGCAAGUUGAGCGAUGAAGAUUGGUGCUUGCACCAAUUUGAAAAGCAGCGAACAGGUGAGUAACGCGUGGGGAAUCUGCCUUUGAGCGGGGGACAACAUUUGGAAACGAAUGCUAAUACCGCAUAACAACUUUAAACAUAAGUUUUAAGUUUGAAAGAUGCAAUUGCAUCACUCAAAGAUGAUCCCGCGUUGUAUUAGCUAGUUGGUGAGGUAAAGGCUCACCAAGGCGAUGAUACAUAGCCGACCUGAGAGGGUGAUCGGCCACAUUGGGACUGAGACACGGCCCAAACUCAUACGGGAGGCAGCAGUAGGGAAUCUUCGGCAAUGGACGAAAGUCUGACCGAGCAACGCCGCGUGAGUGAAGAAGGUUUUCGGAUCGUAAAACUCUGUUGGUAGAGAAGAACGUUGGUGAGAGUGGAAAGAUCAUCAAGUGACGGUAACUACACAGAAAGGGACGGCUAACUACGUG
RNAcentral lists this ribosomal RNA (497 nucleotides) under uncultured bacterium. Its description in RNAcentral is "partial 16S ribosomal RNA". It matches the Rfam family "Bacterial small subunit ribosomal RNA", at positions 28 to 507 of the family's 1533-position model. The record is from RNAcentral.